CUACCAUGCAGUCGAACGGCAGCACAGAGGAGCUUGCUCCUUGGGUGGCGAGUGGCGGACGGGUGAGGAAUACAUCGGAAUCUACUUUUUCGUGGGGGAUAACGUAGGGAAACUUACGCUAAUACCGCAUACGACCUACGGGUGAAAGCAGGGGACCUUCGGGCCUUGCGCGAUUGAAUGAGCCGAUGUCGGAUUAGCUAGUUGGCGGGGUAAAGGCCCACCAAGGCGACGAUCCGUAGCUGGUCUGAGAGGAUGAUCAGCCACACUGGAACUGAGACACGGUCCAGACUCCUACGGGAGGCAGCAGUGGGGAAUAUUGGACAAUGGGCGCAAGCCUGAUCCAGCCAUACCGCGUGGGUGAAGAAGGCCUUCGGGUUGUAAAGCCCUUUUGUUGGGAAAGAAAUCCAGCUGGCUAAUACCCGGUUGGGAUGACGGUACCCAAAGAAUAAGCACCGGCUAACUUCGUGCCAGCAGCCGCGGUAAUACGAAGGGUGCAAGCGUUACUCGGAAUUACUGGGCGUAAAGCGUGCGUAGGUGGUCGUUUAAGUCCGUUGUGAAAGCCCUGGGCUCAACCUGGGAACUGCAGUGGAUACUGGGCGACUAGAGUGUGGUAGAGGGUAGCGGAAUUCCUGGUGUAGCAGUGAAAUGCGUAGAGAUCAAGAGGAACAUCCAUGGCGAACGCAGCUACCUGGACCAACACUGACACUGAGCACGAAAGCGUGGGGAGCAAACAGAUUAGAUACCCUGGUAGUCCACGCCCUAAACGAUGCGAACUGGAUGUUGGGUGCAAUUUGGCACGCAGUAUCGAAGCUAACGCGUUAAGUUCGCCGCCUGGGGAGUACGGUCGCAGACUGAAACUCAAAGGAAUUGACGGGGCCCGCACAGCAGUGGAGUAUGUGGUUUAAUUCGAUGCAACGCGAAGAACCUUACC
This 931-nucleotide ribosomal RNA is filed under the name uncultured Stenotrophomonas sp. Its description in RNAcentral is "bacterial SSU rRNA". It matches the Rfam family "Bacterial small subunit ribosomal RNA", at positions 49 to 975 of the family's 1533-position model. The record is from RNAcentral. Lineage: Bacteria; Pseudomonadati; Pseudomonadota; Gammaproteobacteria; Lysobacterales; Lysobacteraceae.